GAUGAACGCUGGCGGCGUGCCUGAUACAUGCAAGUCGAGCGAACAGACGAGGAGCUUGCUCCUCUGACGUUAGCGGCGGACGGGUGAGUAACACGUGGAUAACCUACCUAUAAGACUGGGAUAACUUCGGGAAACCGGAGCUAAUACCGGAUAAUAUAUUGAACCGCAUGGUUCAAUAGAGAAAGACGGUUUUGCUGUCACUUAUAGAUGGAUCCGCGCCGCAUUAGCUAGUUGGUAAGGUAACGGCUUACCAAGGCAACGAUGCGUAGCCGACCUGAGAGGGUGAUCGGCCACACUGGAACUGAGACACGGUCCAGACUCCUACGGGAGGCAGCAGUAGGGAAUCUUCCGCAAUGGGCGAAAGCCUGACGGAGCAACGCCGCGUGAGUGAUGAAGGUCUUCGGAUCGUAAAACUCUGUUAUUAGGGAAGAACAAAUGUGUAAGUAACUAUGCACGUCUUGACGGUACCUAAUCAGAAAGCCACGGCUAACUACGUG
RNAcentral lists this ribosomal RNA (497 nucleotides) under uncultured bacterium. Its description in RNAcentral is "partial 16S ribosomal RNA". It matches the Rfam family "Bacterial small subunit ribosomal RNA", at positions 28 to 507 of the family's 1533-position model. The record is from RNAcentral.